UUGUCUCAGCGGACGUAUAAAAACACACUGAUCCAUCUUCCCCCAGCCUACCCAGUAACAUCACGAUAACCAUUACGUGGAGCUCAGAUGGGAGGGCGCACAGGCUCAGAUUGUGGCUAGUUUCAUAGAAAAAAACCCAGCAGUGAAAGAGACGCGCUGCAUAACAUUAUGUCGGCAUCACCUGUUGUUCCCGUCGAUAAACGAUUGCCAGCCGUGGAUGUGGAGCCACCAACAGAAAGGAGGGGAAGUGUUGGUAGUGCUGAGUGGAAGACUAGUGAUUUUGUUGUGACGCUGAUCAAAGAACAACAAGUCCCAGUCUGCCUCUCAGCACAAGCAGUGCUCUUCAGGCCACGUCAGCUGUAACCUGCACAACUCUUCAGAAUCUGCGUGCAUUUUCAUGUUGCCAUUGUGGCAGAGUUUCCCUGUUUGUUCAGCAACAACAAUAUGAGACAUGUCCUUUAAAAAUGCACCAAGGCUCUGGUGUGCGCCUGUGUGAAUGGGUGUAGCCUUAAUGCUCAGCAAUGUUAAUUACCAGCAUAAUUGCAAUCAAAAGCAUCAUUUAAGUGGAGAAAUUCAUGGAACAGAAACACACACACACACACACACACACAAUGAAAACUGGUCUCAGACCUUGGGGAAAUACUGUAAUAAUGGCAUGUAGCACACUUUGUACAGAACAGACUGAAAUAACACAAUGUUGAUUAAUAAAUCUGCACUGGAGCGUAUUGUUGAGUUGUUAUAAAGGUGAACUAAAACCACAGUGUAAACCAC
Thunnus maccoyii (southern bluefin tuna) is the source of this 771-nucleotide long non-coding RNA. RefSeq lists it as uncharacterized. Lineage: Eukaryota; Metazoa; Chordata; Actinopteri; Scombriformes; Scombridae. The record is from RefSeq and is a predicted model, not a curated record. The transcript has 2 exons.